GCUGAUGUGGCUCAAUCCGGCAGAGCAACGGUUUUGUAAACCGUAGGUUGCAGGUUCGAUUCCUGUCAUCAGCACCA
RNAcentral lists this transfer RNA (77 nucleotides) under Spiroplasma sp. RNAcentral describes it as "tRNA-Thr". It matches the Rfam family "tRNA". Rfam says of the family: Transfer RNA (tRNA) molecules are approximately 80 nucleotides in length. Their secondary structure includes four short double-helical elements and three loops (D, anti-codon, and T loops). Further hydrogen bonds mediate the characteristic L-shaped molecular structure. tRNAs have two regions of fundamental functional importance: the anti-codon, which is responsible for specific mRNA codon recognition, and the 3' end, to which the tRNAs corresponding amino acid is attached (by aminoacyl-tRNA synthetases). tRNAs cope with the degeneracy of the genetic code in two manners: having more than one tRNA (with a specific anti-codon) for a particular amino acid; and 'wobble' base-pairing, i.e. permitting non-standard base-pairing at the 3rd anti-codon position. Lineage: Bacteria; Bacillati; Mycoplasmatota; Mollicutes; Entomoplasmatales; Spiroplasmataceae. RNAcentral also lists the same sequence under 4 other names. The record is from RNAcentral.